ACACCUCAAACAACACACACCACCACUAGCAAAUAAAUAAAUAGAGAGAGAGAGAGAGAGAGAGAGAGAGAGAGAGAGAGAGAGAGAGAGAGAGAGAGAGAGAGAGAGACAGAGAGAGAGAGAGCGAGAGAGAGAGAGAGAGAGAGAGAGAGAGAGAGAGAGAGAGAGAGAGAGAGAGAGAGAGAAUUUCCAAGAGGGCUAGUACGAUCCAAUAGAUCUUACGAUUAAUUUCGGAAUCAAAGAGGUAAUCAGGAUUAGAGAGACGGGCCGAGUAUUAAUAUUAUUAUGCUGGUGAUAUGGUUAUGUAAUGAAUAAAAGAAGAGUGUAGCCUAUGUUGAUAUUAGCAUAAUGAAUAAAUCACUCUAAGUGAUCGUUGAUUAUUAAAGAAAGCUUCUGUAAAUGUCAUGAUUAUUUCUUUUAAUAAAGAGUUAAUAGAGGCUUUUGGUGA
Rhododendron vialii is the source of this 448-nucleotide long non-coding RNA. RefSeq lists it as uncharacterized. The transcript has 2 exons. The record is from RefSeq and is a predicted model, not a curated record. NCBI's taxonomy places the organism in Eukaryota, Viridiplantae, Streptophyta, Magnoliopsida, Ericales, Ericaceae.